RNAcentral lists this ribosomal RNA (253 nucleotides) under uncultured bacterium. RNAcentral's name for it is "partial 16S ribosomal RNA". It matches the Rfam family "Bacterial small subunit ribosomal RNA", at positions 524 to 776 of the family's 1533-position model. The record is from RNAcentral.
UACGAAGGGGGCUAACGUUGUUCGGAUUUACUGGGCGUAAAGGGCGCGUAGGCGGAUUUUUAAGUCGGGGGUGAAAUCCCGGAGCUCAACACCGGAACUGCUUUCGAUACUGAAAGUCUGGAGCACGGUAGAGGUGAGUGGAAUUCCGAGUGUAGAGGUGAAAUUCGUAGAUAUUCGGAGGAACACCAGUGGCGAAGGCGGCUCACUGGACCGUUGCUGACGCUGAGGCGCGAAAGCGUGGGGAGCAAACAGG